GAGUGAACGCUGGCGGUAGGCCUACCACAUGCAAGUCGAACGGCAGCACAGUAAGAGCUUGCUCUUACGGGUGGCGAGUGGCGGACGGGUGAGGAAUACAUCGGAAUCUACUUUUUCGUGGGGGAUAACGUAGGGAAACUUACGCUAAUACCGCAUACGACCUACGGGUGAAAGCAGGGGAUCUUCGGACCUUGCGCGAUUGAAUGAGCCGAUGUCGGAUUAGCUAGUUGGCGGGGUAAAGGCCCACCAAGGCGACGAUCCGUAGCUGGUCUGAGAGGAUGAUCAGCCACACUGGAACUGAGACACGGUCCAGACUCCUACGGGAGGCAGCAGUGGGGAAUAUUGGACAAUGGGCGCAAGCCUGAUCCAGCCAUACCGCGUGGGUGAAGAAGGCCUUCGGGUUGUAAAGCCCUUUUGUUGGGAAAGAAAAGCAGCAGGUUAAUACCCCGCUGUUCUGACGGUACCCAAAGAAUAAGCACCGGCUAACUUCGUG
RNAcentral lists this ribosomal RNA (493 nucleotides) under uncultured bacterium. RNAcentral describes it as "partial 16S ribosomal RNA". It matches the Rfam family "Bacterial small subunit ribosomal RNA", at positions 27 to 507 of the family's 1533-position model. The record is from RNAcentral.